CUCGCGGGGACGGAGCUGCGGAGUAGACAAGCGAGCCGAGCUUGAGCUCGUCCCGGUCGCGAUCCCAAGGUCGCGGCGGCGGCCGGGGCGGAGCGGCGGCGGCCCUGGGUGAGGGCGGCGUCGGGUCGAAGGAGGUGCCGGGCAGACGGGGAGACGGGAGACGGCGUCGGCCCUGUUGCCCUUCGACGGCGGCGCGGGGAGACGUGGCCGACGGGUGCCGCGGAGGCAGGGCUUCGACGUCUGGUAGGUCAGGAGGUGAGGAGGUGCCAAUUCUACUGAACACGUAUCUAGCUCGAAGUCAGACUACCUAAGACUGCUGUUCUUCAAACCGUUUCCUGGAUCCCUCGAGUGACCACGACAACUAAAUUAUUCAGUCAUGUUUAACCUCGGCGUGGUACUAAAGAAAACGUUCUCCGGAAACGGUGAACGUUAGAGUCUAUGUGUAAUGGAAGUGUUACAUCACCCCCUGUGACUUUAAGCCUUUCCUCUUCCUUACCUCGAUCUAGUUGAGCAAGUCUUACGUAUGAAUUCCCUAUUCGGAGGAAGAUAAUUCGGGAAACUAUACCUUUGUGACCCCGUUCGUAAAGUCGAAGCUCUUUGACGAGGUCAUCUAAAUGGGAGACGACUUUUUCCAUAUGGAUGGUAAAGCCCGUUUGGCUUUUCACUCAGGUUCCUGUUUCUCUUUUUUGUAUUUUUCGUGUUUCUGUUUCUAUUCCUGUCCCUCGUAUUCUUCGUGUUUGUAGCUGUAUUCCUAGCCAGAUUUCUGUUUCUGUUCCUGUUCCUAUCCUUUUUCCUAUUCGUAGUACUCUUCUUCUCCUUCGUACUCCCCUGCCUCCUAAGCCGUCUGCACGUAUUCGUGUUUUUUUCGUUCCACUACAUGUUAAUAAUAAACGAAGGACCAUGUUGUUUAAAGGAACGUCGUGUAAAACAACCAGACAAUUGUACUGAAUGGAUACCGUCGUAUUCUCAAGGUUUUGGCUACUCUACCCAUUACCUGAAUCAAUCGAUGUCCAAAAGAAGAAUGAAGACAACAGUUAGUUACAGUAUAAGACAAUCUUCCUCCGAGUUUUCUAAAGGCAGUGGUCUGGGCGACGUCUAGUUAACCAUGUACGAAGAACUUGAAAAUAAACGACAACCCAUCUACGUAUUUAACUAAUAAAACAUAACGAAAAGAAUUAAGAAACAGAAAGCCACUUUGUACUUAAGUUUACAAAGUCUAAAUUCGACGUAUCACUCGAACACAAAAAUUCAGUUGGAUCUAAAAUAAAAUAAUAAACCUCGGAUUUACUACUUAUAAAAUUGGAAACCACUUAAUAAAUAAUGAGUAAGUUCUCUUAUUCUAGACGGAAAACGGACUGAAACAUUUAUAAUCAGAGUAAACUAAAAUAGACGUAGAAAAAAAAACACUUGUUAAAAUAGACGUAGACAUGUUAUACACUACAAUCCCUGCCAACGGGACUGUAAUGAAAUACAGGUGAGAGUCAAAAUCUGGACCCGGUUAAAGUAAAGAAGUCAGAGUGAACUGAACUCUUCAUGUCAAUCUAAUAAAGGAAACUAACCGUAGAGAUCACCAUAAUUAUAUAGUCAAUACUACCCGGACGACUGAAAGAUAUGAUACACCGUACUAGACCAAUCCGGACUGAACGUAGUAUUUAAGUAUUACAUCAGUGAUCAGGAUAUGCCAAACGUCAAAUGGUUGUGAAACUGGUAUGGUAUACCACUAAUUAACCUUGUGUUACUUGAUAAUUUUUUCUAGUGAGCGUCAAAUGGAUCACUACAAAGAAAGCUUUAGCAGCAUACGGUAAACGUUGAGAAAUUGCAGACGUGGAACAUAUUAGAAGUGUUAAUAACAGGUCAAGUUUAUUCUAUACCUUUUGUGACGGUCUACUUGUGGUUACCCCUCUUUGUAACCGUUUGUCAUCCGAAAACAAACGUAGACACUAUUAGGUACUGAGAAUUGAGAAUGAAAAUACACCCACUACGUCUAUAGUACUUACCGUCAAAUAAACUUCCACGAAGUCUACUUGCAGAACGGACGACGAUUAAUACAACAAGAACGUCACACCUGGUACACCUUUUACAUUGAACAUUGUUUCCCUGUUAGGUUGACAUAAAACGUUGGAAAACAGGGAGCGACUGAUUACCCAACGGAACAUCCUUGUAAAUCUAUCCUGAAGAUUACUCUAAAAAAGGGGUAUCUAGUCCUUUAGACUCAUCCACAAAAACCACUCUAUUAAAAAUUCUGAUCCUAGUCAAUUGUUAAAGUAAAUCUAACUUGAAAAUUACUCUAAUUAAAUUUUCUAAUCCUCUAGACCCCUAUCCACAGAAAUUGCUCUGUAAAUAGUUUCCGAUCUUCGUCAGGUAAGACAAUUGGUCCGGACACUAUUUGAUCAACUACAUCGUACUAUAUUACCAUUUUUUUUAUAUAACAUACUAUACCUUUACUUCGAAGUAAGGAGCACGACUACUCCUUUGAUCAAUUAAGUGGUGGCGGACCUGAACAAAGGUUCUUGUACGUUUCUACCAGUCCUUAAUCUGUGAUUUGGGACAAAAGAGGAUCUUGACACAUUACAAGACGAAGACGG
RNAcentral lists this ribosomal RNA (2585 nucleotides) under Triticum aestivum (bread wheat). RNAcentral describes it as "partial small subunit ribosomal RNA". The record is from RNAcentral. Lineage: Eukaryota; Viridiplantae; Streptophyta; Magnoliopsida; Poales; Poaceae.